UUUUAUGAGAGAAAGUAGACAACGCCCUCACAAAUCACGAGUUUAACAAUUAGGAAAAGGAUAGAGAAGAAGAGAAAAGAAAAGAAAAGAAAAGAAAAGAACAGAAAAAGAAAUAUAGAGAAGAGUUCCUGACCUUUACACAAUUUGCGCUAACCCUCGAUUACAAUUUUCAUCCAUUUCCAGUUUUCUAUGUAAAAAUCGGCUAAUCAACACAGUCAAUUUCGUAUUUCCAGAAUCAACUCUAAGGAGCAGAUAACAAAUUGGGCCAAAACGAAUUGAAGAUCUUUUUUCGACGAUUUCCAUCAAAUUGAAGGCACUUCACCUCACCGGCAGUUCCACUCGUGUUGCGCCACGAGCCACGAGUCACGUCUGUCUGCAUUACGACCGUUGUCCAUUGCCUUAUAGCAUUGUAGGGACGGAGAGCAAUACAUUCCUAACUGAUAUAACUUAUAACAAGGGAUUUUGGGAAGAAACUUGGCUUAAAUAGGAAUUUUUUAAAUGUGUAUAAGAGAUAUAGUGUGUUUUAAUGAGUAAUAAGCUAUAGCAGUUUGAAUAUUUGAGUUUCACUUGCAAGGACCAUGGAUGGUUGCACUAUGUGAUUACAAUUGUUGGACAUAAGAUUAUUUGUCUAACAAUCACUACCGUAAUAGGAUUCUGGUGUUUAGGGGCUGAUUUUGUGGCGAGGGAGAAGGUUGUCGUUUGUUAUGGUAUAUAAUGCUUUGUUCUUCUCUGAGGACCCGAUUACAGUCCUGGCUUCGUGAUUACGAUAAGCUCCAAUCCGUUGCCAUCAUCCUCCUAUACGUCCAAAUUGGAUGCACAUUGCUUGGAUCUUUAGGACCACUGUAUAAUGGGGUGCUGCUUAUCAACUUGGCGAUAGCGUUGUUUGCCCUUGUAGCUAUUGAGAGUGGCAGUCAAAGCCUUGGCCGAACUUAUGCCUUUUUGCUUGUCUCUGCAAUCCUGUUGGACAUCAUCUGGUUUGUUCUGUUCUCCAAUGAGAUAUGGCACAUCUCGUCAGAGCAUAAUGGACCUUCCUUUAUCUUUUCCUUGAAACUCACUCUGUUAAUGCAAAUAUUUGGAUUAUCAAUCAGAAUAUCGUCUGCAUUCUUAUGGAUUCAGAUGUAUAGAUUGGGGAUUUCACAUGUAGAAAGUGCAGCUUCUCGAGAAGCAGAUUUUGAUCUAAGAAACAGUUUUCUAAGUCCUGUUACCCCUGCUGUAGCUAGGCAUCAAUCCUCAGAUUCUGAAGAUCAACUAGGUGGAUCUAUUUAUGAUCCAGCAUACUACUCUUCGCUUUUUGAAGUUAGCCAAGAUGACAAAUGCUCAAAAAAGUUGCACCCUUGCAGGGACAAAACAAUGUGAAGGAUGGUGAUCCUUCGUCACAGGCUGAAAGUUGUAUAUUGAAGCUGUCAGUGGGGAGUGCUUUUCAGGCUUUUGUGGACGAGAAUGCCGACACUCGUCAUCUGAACAGCUAGUAAGAACAUAAUCAUCUUUGUGAAGAUACUUUUCAGAGUUUGAUGAGCACUUCUUGCGUUAUUACAGAGAUUGAGGGUCGUCGACACUGAGCACUGUACACAGAAUUUUGUAGAAAGGGCGUUGUCAACAUUGAGCAUUGUCCAUAAAUUGAACAGGAUGAGUAGUUCAGUAUUGUUAUAAAACAGGAUACAUACUAAAAAGAAAAGGGAUGUUUUAGCUUAUAUUUAAGCCUUGUGAGAAGAGCUUUCCCAUAAUCUGGUUAGAUAUAUGUCGUUGAGCAUUUAUUUCUUCUUAUUAAUGGAUAACAUGGUAUACAUCAUCAAGGUACGAUAGUUCUGGUUUCA
This is an RNA transcript of Beta vulgaris subsp. vulgaris (sugar beet), 1814 nucleotides long. RefSeq lists it as hypothetical. Lineage: Eukaryota; Viridiplantae; Streptophyta; Magnoliopsida; Caryophyllales; Amaranthaceae. The transcript is spliced from 6 exons. The record is from RefSeq and is a predicted model, not a curated record.